This 148-nucleotide small RNA is filed under the name Papio anubis (olive baboon). Its description in RNAcentral is "Metazoan signal recognition particle RNA (ENSPANG00000037954.1)". The record is from Rfam by way of RNAcentral. Lineage: Eukaryota; Metazoa; Chordata; Mammalia; Primates; Cercopithecidae.
GCCAGGCGUAAUGGCUCAUGCCUGUAAUCCCAGCUACUUGGGAGGCUGAGGCAGGAGAAUCACUUGAACCUGGGAGGUGGAGGUUGCAGUUAGCCAAGAUCGCGCCACUGCAAUCCUGCCCGGGCAAUAAGGUGAGACUCUGUCUCUA